GAGUCUUUACAAAAUAGCUGCUUCAUAAUCAAGGCAAAUAAUGGCCACUCAUGUUGGUUAUGGCUGCUGAUAAAAUGAGUCGUUCCUUACAAAUGCACUCAUUUGCAAGCACAUCAAUUCGGUAUGUGUGAACAAAACCAGGCAGUUUUUUCAGACAACCUGGAGAGCUCUGAGAUUUCAACCUAGGAAUCCAGACACUCCAGCCUGACCUAUGAUCUGUGGGUAGGUUUAUAUCCCAAGUUCAAUUAUCUUCAAAUGGAAUCUACAUACAGGACAAAAUAGCAUCAAAAGCAAGGAUACAGGGAUGUUAAGUCUGCAGCU
RNAcentral lists this long non-coding RNA (321 nucleotides) under Phoenix dactylifera (date palm). Its description in RNAcentral is "long non-coding RNA (PDAC_LNC019704)". The record is from RNAcentral. Lineage: Eukaryota; Viridiplantae; Streptophyta; Magnoliopsida; Arecales; Arecaceae.